This is a long non-coding RNA of Rhopalosiphum padi (bird cherry-oat aphid), 288 nucleotides long. RefSeq lists it as uncharacterized. The transcript has 3 exons. The record is from RefSeq and is a predicted model, not a curated record. NCBI's taxonomy places the organism in Eukaryota, Metazoa, Arthropoda, Insecta, Hemiptera, Aphididae.
CCAGAUGCCCGUUGUAGUUGCGAUUACUCGAUAAUUUAAUUUCAUGCCAUUGAAGAAAAAAAUUAUCUAUAGUGUACCUAUCAGCAAUACAUUAUCUUAACUCCUCGACACAAGUCCCUCUUGAAAAAAGAGACUUAAAUGUAUCUAAGUGAUCGAAUUAUACGUCUAAAUAUUUCAAUCAAAUUAUGAUUCGUAUUUAUUCGUUAUAACGAUAACUCAUAGCAUUAUCAUUAAAUCAACGAAUUAUACACAAAUAUAAAAUGAAAUACCUCUGUAAUAAUUAUUAUA